This 875-nucleotide ribosomal RNA is filed under the name uncultured archaeon. Its description in RNAcentral is "bacterial SSU rRNA". It matches the Rfam family "Archaeal small subunit ribosomal RNA", at positions 21 to 903 of the family's 1478-position model. The record is from RNAcentral.
CCUGACUGCUAUCGGAUUGAUACUAAGCCAUGCGAGUCUUUGCAGUAAUGCAAGGCAUACGGCUCAGUAACACGUAGUCAACUUACCCUAUGGACGAGGAUAAUCUCGGGAAACUGAGCAUAAUACUCGAUAGAUCAUAAUGCCUGGAAUGGUUUAUGGUUGAAAUGAUUCGUCGCCAUAGGAUGGGACUGCGGCCUAUCAGCUUGUUGGUGAGGUAAUGGCCCACCAAGGCGAUUACAGGUACGGGCUCUGAGAGGAGAAGCCCGGAGAUGGGUACUGAGACAAGGACCCAGGCCCUAUGGGGCGCAGCAGGCGAGAAAACUUUGCAAUGUGCGAAAGCACGACAAGGUUAAUCCGAGUGAUUUCUGCUAAAGAAAUCUUUUGCAAGUCAUAAAACCACUAGUGAAUAAGGGGUGGGCAAGUUCUGGUGUCAGCCGCCGCGGUAAAACCAGCACCUCAAGUGGUCAGGAGGAUUAUUGGGCCUAAAGCAUCCGUAGCCGGCUCUGUAAGUUUUCGGUUAAAUCUAUGCGCUCAACGUAUGGGCUGCCGAAAAUACUGUAGAGAUAGGGAGUGGGAGAGGUAGACGGUACUCGGUAGGAAGGGGUAAAAUCCUUUGAUCUAUCGAUGACCACCUGUGGCGAAGGCGGUCUACCAGAACACGUUCGACGGUGAGGGAUGAAAGCUGGGGGAGCAAACCGGAUUAGAUACCCGGGUAGUCCCAGCUGUAAACUAUGCAAACUCAGUGAUGCAUUGACUUGUGGUCAAUGCAGUGCUGCAGGGAAGCCGUUAAGUUUGCCGCCUGGGAAGUACGUACGCAAGUAUGAAACUUAAAGGAAUUGGCGGGGGAGCACCACAAGGGGUGAAGCCUGCGGUUC